Molecule: ribosomal RNA, 489 nt
Filed under: uncultured bacterium
Lineage: Bacteria
Description: bacterial SSU rRNA
Rfam family: Bacterial small subunit ribosomal RNA
Source: RNAcentral
GAUGAACGCUAGCUACAGGCUUAACACAUGCAAGUCGAGGGGCAGCAUGGGGUUUGCUUGCAAACCCUGAUGGCGACCGGCGCACGGGUGAGUAACGCGUAUCCAACCUUCCCGUCACUCGGGGACAGCCCAGCGAAAGCUGGAUUAACCCCCGAUGUUGUCAUAUGAUAGCAUUAGAGUGUGACGAAAGGCUAACGGUGACGGAUGGGGAUGCGUCUGAUUAGGUAGUAGGCGGGGUAACGGCCCACCUAGCCGACGAUCAGUAGGGGUUCUGAGAGGAAGGUCCCCCACAUUGGAACUGAGACACGGUCCAAACUCCUACGGGAGGCAGCAGUGAGGAAUAUUGGUCAAUGGGCGAGAGCCUGAACCAGCCAAGUAGCGUGCAGGACGACGGCCCUACGGGUUGUAAACUGCUUUUAUGAAGGAAUAAAGUCACCCACGUGUGGGUGUUUGCAUGUACUUUAUGAAUAAGGACCGGCUAAUUCCGUG